UGGCGGAUCACUUAGUAUUAAUUCGUCGCUCGAGCCAAGUUCUUUUAUAUAAAUAUGCACAUUUCUGGUUCGCCUUACUAACUGGCUAAUUGCCUUGCAAGUAUUCGUACCGCUUUUUAUGCAAAGCUGGGUAUCCACAUAUUUUGAUCUGAUCAAGACAGACUAAAAAACAGAGAAACGAUUUCGAAAUGACAGAUGGCAUAUAUUGUACUGGUACCAAGCAAGCAAUUACAGUGUAAAUUAUACCAAGAUCUCUAAACACUACACUCCGGAGUCUAGACUCAAUUUGCUGGAAUUAUUGGGGAAAAUUAUGAAACGAGGGAGAUCGAUGCCAUGAAGAUAUACAGUUGAUAGAUUUUACCAGACGUGCAUAAGGGGCAUGUACACCAUAUUAUCAUCUUAGAUUUCCCUACUGUGUAUAACUGGAAAUUGCUAGUUUUAGAUAGUACAUCAUAUCUAUGACGCACAUAUAAAUAAAACACAAGAAUAUAUAAUCUUCUUCAUAUUAUAAAUAUCUUCUUGUACCAACCACUGCUACACAAAGAAUGGCUAGUUUUGUACAGCAGCUAGCUUAAUAACUUAUAUUUUAACUAAUAAACACAAUUUUUAUAUAUUGAAGAAUAACACAUCUACUGGGUGGAGUACAUGAGUUUGCCAGUUGUUCUCUGGCUUAGUGAAUGGUCGCCCAGCUAUGUUCCAGAAUGCAGUAUUGUUUUAUAUAUAGGGAUCUCACGUGUGAGUACUGUCCAUGAUAUUUCAACAAGGACAACAUACAAGCUGCAUGCUUGUACUAUGCAGUUUGUGCUAUGGCUGUAAACAAUAAUAAGUGAUCUAAUUACAACAGGUCACAAAACAGUAAAGGAUAUAUUUUACUAUAUUUCAUUACAUACACUUCGGUGUAAAAAAUAGUUUAUUUACUAAACAAAGCAAAAUAGAUCAGUAUAAGGGAGCAUUCAUCAGAUAAUUGAGUCAGCCAUUAAUUAAGCCAUAAUUGAGUUUUAACACAGUCAAUAAAAGGUGCAUUUUAAGCGCA
Molecule: long non-coding RNA, 1033 nt
Organism: Actinia tenebrosa (Australian red waratah sea anemone)
Lineage: Eukaryota; Metazoa; Cnidaria; Anthozoa; Actiniaria; Actiniidae
Source: RefSeq, a predicted model, not a curated record